Non-coding RNA from Idiomarina sp. A28L, 116 nucleotides. Lineage: Bacteria; Pseudomonadati; Pseudomonadota; Gammaproteobacteria; Alteromonadales; Idiomarinaceae. The record is from Rfam.
CAUCAUUGGUGGUGGCACUUCCUUCGCGGGUAGUGGAUGCGUCUGUGCGCUUGUUAUAAAGCAAAUUAGAAAACAGAAAUUCAUUCAAAACCCGCUUAUGAAGCGGGUUUUGCUGU